This 460-nucleotide ribosomal RNA is filed under the name uncultured bacterium. RNAcentral describes it as "partial 16S ribosomal RNA". It matches the Rfam family "Bacterial small subunit ribosomal RNA", at positions 338 to 795 of the family's 1533-position model. The record is from RNAcentral.
CCUACGGGAGGCAGCAGUGAGGAAUAUUGGUCAAUGGACGAGAGUCUGAACCAGCCAAGUAGCGUGAAGGAUGACUGCCCUAUGGGUUGUAAACUUCUUUUAUAUGGGAAUAAAACAGGGUAUGCAUACCCUCUUGUAUGUACCAUAUGAAUAAGGAUCGGCUAACUCCGUGCCAGCAGCCGCGGUAAUACGGAGGAUCCGAGCGUUAUCCGGAUUUAUUUGGUUUAAAGGGAGCGUAGGUGGAGUGUUAAGUCAGUUUUGAAAGUUUGCGGCUCAACCGUAAAAUUGCAGUUGAAACUGGCAGUCUAGAGUGCAGUAGAGGUGUGCGGAAUUCGUGGUGGAGCGGUGAAAUGCUUAGAUAUCACGAAGAACUCCGAUUGCGAAGGCAGCUCACUGGACUGCAACUGACACUGAUGCUCGAAAGUGUGGGUAUCAAACAGGAUUAGAUACCCUAGUAGUC